CUGCUGGGGGUGCCUUUCGGCUGAGAAAUGUCUUCGGACGUUACCCUGAGAACUUGAUCCGGUUCAUACCGGCGUAAGGAAUGCAC
This 86-nucleotide non-coding RNA is filed under the name uncultured Clostridium sp. The record is from RNAcentral. Lineage: Bacteria; Bacillati; Bacillota; Clostridia; Eubacteriales; Clostridiaceae.